This 485-nucleotide ribosomal RNA is filed under the name uncultured bacterium. RNAcentral's name for it is "bacterial SSU rRNA". It matches the Rfam family "Bacterial small subunit ribosomal RNA", at positions 20 to 507 of the family's 1533-position model. The record is from RNAcentral.
UGGCUCAGGAUGAACGCUGGCGGCGUGCUUAACACAUGCAAGUCGAACGAAGCACUUAAGACAGAUUCUUCGGAUGAUGGAUUAAGUGACUGAGUGGCGACGGGUGAGUAACGCGUGGGUAACCUGCCUCAUACAGGGGGAUAACAGUUAGAAAUGACUGCUAAUACCGCAUAAGCGCACAGGACCGCAUGGUCUGGUGUGAAAAACUCCGGUGGUAUGAGAUGGACCCGCGUCUGAUUAGCUAGUUGUGGGGUAACGGCCUACCAAGGCGACGAUCAGUAGCCGACCUGAGAGGGUGACCGGCCACAUUGGGACUGAGACACGGCCCAAACUCCUACGGGAGGCAGCAGUGGGGAAUAUUGCACAAUGGGGGAAACCCUGAUGCAGCAACGCCGCGUGAAGGAAGAAGGUCUUCGGAUUGUAAACUUUUGUCGCAAAGGAAGAUAAUGACGGUACUUUGUGAGAAAGCCACGGCUAACUACGUG